UACGAAGGGGGCUAGCGUUGCUCGGAAUCACUGGGCGUAAAGGGUGCGUAGGCGGGUUUUUAAGUCAGGGGUGAAAUCCUGGAGCUCAACUCCAGAACUGCCUUUGAUACUGAAGAUCUUGAGUCCGGGAGAGGUUAGUGGAACUGCGAGUGUAGAGGUGAAAUUCGUAGAUAUUCGCAAGAACACCAGUGGCGAAGGCGGCUCACUGGCCCGUUUCUGACGCUGAGGCACGAAAGCGUGGGGAGCAAACAGG
This 253-nucleotide ribosomal RNA is filed under the name uncultured bacterium. Its description in RNAcentral is "partial 16S ribosomal RNA". It matches the Rfam family "Bacterial small subunit ribosomal RNA", at positions 524 to 776 of the family's 1533-position model. The record is from RNAcentral.